GUUCUUAUUUGUUGUCCCACAGAGAUACCCAAGUGAAUCAUGAAAUAAAAUACAGGAAGGCAGCAGCAUCAGCCAAAAAAGAAUGUGUAUAGAAACAGCAAUGCAUAAGAUAAGGGAUAAGCAAAGAAACAAUGCAGGAAACUACUUGGGACUGCAUAACCGAAUGGAACUGACAUUAAGGUGCAACUAACUUUGGAAACCCAUAACUUUAAAGAAGGAGUAUAUGACUCUCUCAAAAAAGCAAGUAGUGAAACUGAGCAAAUGUCAGUUCAGCACAGCAUGUUUGACCAGAUGAAGAUCAAGUUCUGGAGAUUCAGCAGGAUAAUAACAAAACCAAAUGAAAGACAAAGUGACAUGAGACAGUUCCAGCACCAUUUGGAUGUAGGUAAGGAAGGAAAGGUUGGAAGUGAUAUACCGUUACCUGAGCUAGACAGUUAGACAGCUGAAUUUAACUGGCACGGUGCAUGCAA
This is a long non-coding RNA of Protopterus annectens (West African lungfish), 470 nucleotides long. RefSeq lists it as uncharacterized. NCBI's taxonomy places the organism in Eukaryota, Metazoa, Chordata, Ceratodontiformes, Protopteridae. The transcript is spliced from 3 exons. The record is from RefSeq and is a predicted model, not a curated record.